UACAACUUUCAACAACGGAUCUCUUGGUUCUGGCAUCGAUGAAGAACGCAGCGAAAUGCGAUAAGUAGUGUGAAUUGCAGAAUUCAGUGAAUCAUCGAAUCUUUGAACGCACAUUGCGCCCCUUGGUAUUCCAUGGGGCAUGCCUGUUCGAGCGUCAU
This 158-nucleotide ribosomal RNA is filed under the name Parastagonospora avenae. Its description in RNAcentral is "5.8S ribosomal RNA". It matches the Rfam family "5.8S ribosomal RNA". From Rfam's summary of the family: 5.8S ribosomal RNA (5.8S rRNA) is a component of the large subunit of the eukaryotic ribosome. It is transcribed by RNA polymerase I as part of the 45S precursor that also contains 18S and 28S rRNA. Functionally, it is thought that 5.8S rRNA may be involved in ribosome translocation. The record is from RNAcentral. Lineage: Eukaryota; Fungi; Ascomycota; Dothideomycetes; Pleosporales; Phaeosphaeriaceae.